CCUGGGGCUGAAGCCGGUCCCAAGGGUAUGGCUGUUCGCCAUUUAAAGUGGUACGCGAGCUGGGUUUAGAACGUCGUGAGACAGUUCGGUCCCUAUCUGUCGUGGGCGUUGGAGAUUUGAGGAGAGCUGCUUCUAGUACGAGAGGACCGAAGUGGACAAACCUCUGGUGUUCGGGUUGUCAUGCCAAUGGCAUUGCCCGGUAGCUACGUUUGGACAGGAUAACCGCUGAAAGCAUCUAAGCGGGAAGCCCCCUCCAAGAUUAGAUCUCCCUGGGACUUUAAGUCCCCUAAAGGGCCGUUCAAGACUAGGACGUUGAUAGGCUGGAUGUGGAAGCGCUGUGAAGCGUUGAGCUAACCAGUACUAAUUGCCCGUGAGGCUUGACCAUAUAAUAGAGAUG
Molecule: ribosomal RNA, 397 nt
Filed under: Porticoccaceae bacterium
Lineage: Bacteria; Pseudomonadati; Pseudomonadota; Gammaproteobacteria; Cellvibrionales; Porticoccaceae
Description: bacterial LSU rRNA
Rfam family: Bacterial large subunit ribosomal RNA
Source: RNAcentral